Molecule: ribosomal RNA, 804 nt
Filed under: Staphylococcus sp. 49
Lineage: Bacteria; Bacillati; Bacillota; Bacilli; Caryophanales; Staphylococcaceae
Also listed under: 2 other names
Description: bacterial SSU rRNA
Rfam family: Bacterial small subunit ribosomal RNA
Source: RNAcentral
UGACGUUAGCGGCGGACGGGUGAGUAACACGUGGGUAACCUACCUAUAAGACUGGGAUAACUUCGGGAAACCGGAGCUAAUACCGGAUAACAUUUGGAACCGCAUGGUUCUAAAGUGAAAGAUGGUUUUGCUAUCACUUAUAGAUGGACCCGCGCCGUAUUAGCUAGUUGGUAAGGUAACGGCUUACCAAGGCGACGAUACGUAGCCGACCUGAGAGGGUGAUCGGCCACACUGGAACUGAGACACGGUCCAGACUCCUACGGGAGGCAGCAGUAGGGAAUCUUCCGCAAUGGGCGAAAGCCUGACGGAGCAACGCCGCGUGAGUGAUGAAGGGUUUCGGCUCGUAAAACUCUGUUAUUAGGGAAGAACAAACGUGUAAGUAACUGUGCACGUCUUGACGGUACCUAAUCAGAAAGCCACGGCUAACUACGUGCCAGCAGCCGCGGUAAUACGUAGGUGGCAAGCGUUAUCCGGAAUUAUUGGGCGUAAAGCGCGCGUAGGCGGUUUCUUAAGUCUGAUGUGAAAGCCCACGGCUCAACCGUGGAGGGUCAUUGGAAACUGGGAAACUUGAGUGCAGAAGAGGAAAGUGGAAUUCCAUGUGUAGCGGUGAAAUGCGCAGAGAUAUGGAGGAACACCAGUGGCGAAGGCGACUUUCUGGUCUGUAACUGACGCUGAUGUGCGAAAGCGUGGGGAUCAAACAGGAUUAGAUACCCUGGUAGUCCACGCCGUAAACGAUGAGUGCUAAGUGUUAGGGGGUUUCCGCCCCUUAGUGCUGCAGCUAACGCAUUAAGCACUCCGCCUGGG